Haemorhous mexicanus (house finch) is the source of this 5581-nucleotide long non-coding RNA. RefSeq lists it as uncharacterized. Lineage: Eukaryota; Metazoa; Chordata; Aves; Passeriformes; Fringillidae. The record is from RefSeq and is a predicted model, not a curated record. The transcript is spliced from 3 exons.
GUUGACUAGAUGAAGUUACAGGGAACUGGAGCAGUUCAAUGAGUGAGUGCUAAACCUCUGUUUCUUCUUAAGAGGCACAACCAGAGGCCACUGAUACCUUGACCUUUUGUUUCUUGGAGUACCUAGUGGAAAUAAUGAAGCAAGAAGAUCCAGGAAAAGUCACCUGAUGGGAAAGAAGUCCUUCCCCUGGUCAAAAAUGGCUCAAUUCCAUGGGACACAGUCCUCCACAAACUUCUCUAAUAUGAGUCCUUCCCAUGGGCUACAGUUCUUCACAAACUGCUUCAACAUGGGACCCAACAGGAUCACAAGUCCUACCAGCGAACCUGUUCCAGCGUGGGCUCCUUCUUCCAAGGGUCCAAAAGUCCUGCCAGGAGCCUCCUCCAGUUUGGGCUUCCCACAGGGACACAGUCUUCUUGUGGACAUCCAUCUGCUUCAGCAUGGCUCUCUUCCACAGACUGCAGGUGGAUCUCUGCACCUCACAGGUCCCCAAGGGCUGCAGGGGGACAGCCUGGCAGUUUGCCUCCCCAUGGUCUUCACCACAGUCUGCAGGGCAAUCUCUGCUCCAGCUCCACGUGCUCCAUCUUCACUGACUUUGGUGUCUGCAGAGUUGCUUCUCUUACAUAGUCUUUUCUCUGGCCACAAUUACUUCUGGCAAUAACUUUUUUUCCUUCCUAAAUAAGUUAUUACAGAGGGUCUACUACCUUUGCUGAUUGGCCAUGGCCUUGGCCAGUGGAGGUUCUGUUUUGGAGCCUGCUGGAAUUGGCUCAGUUGGGCAUGGAGGAAGCUUCUAGCAGCUUCUCAUGGAAGCCAUCUGUUGCCUUCUCACCCCCCACCAGAACCUUGCCGUGCAAACUCAGUACAGCAGUUUCUUGGACUGAGGUUGUUCACGUGUCAAAAGGCAUCCUUAACUCUUGUCACUUCUGAAUUAGAGUAGAAAGAGCUCUUCAACAAUCAUGUACAACACAGCCUGAAGAGGUGUUGGUCAUCUGCAGCUCCCACUAGAACCAAAGAAGCAGAUCCUCAGUGUCACUCUGGAUUUUGUUUCUAAGCAAAGAAGAGUUUAGUGAUUUCAGAGUGCAAAUAUCUAAAACUUCUUCUCCUAUGGACUUGAGUCAGUGGUAAACAGUUCUAUUUUGCCACUUUGCCUAUGAUGAAAGUCCUUUAACUUUCUAAUAGAAGACCAGGUGUAAGAGUUCUGUGUGAAUGCUACCACAGGCACUGGGAAAAUAAAAUUAUUUUUGUUUAUUUAACUUAUUUAGUUUUCAGUCUGACAUUUCUCUACUGCACUGAGAGCUAAGAUUCAUUUACAGUAUUAAUGCACUUAAUUAUGUUUUUUCUUUUUGUAGGAAUGAAGAGACUUUAUGGAAUGACUUGAGGUUUUACAAAAUUUUUUAUACUAAAACCAACAAAUUAUUGAGAAAGGAGGAUUUAUUAUAAAAAUUCCCACUAGAAAAAAAAUUAUUGGAGUUUAAGUAUCUGCUAAUUUUGCUUGAGACUUUGGAUUGUCUUUUAUUUGUCCUGAAAUUAUUUUUUUUCCUAUAGAAGCUGAAAAAUCCCCAAGCACUUUAUUUGGCACAAGAAAAAUCCCUCUAUGCAAUCCCCCAAACCCAUUCUCAAAACUCAGAGCCUUAAAUGGGUCUGUGCCAUCUGUUCUGCCUCACUUUGGCAGCUCUGACUUGACAUCUGGCCGUUACAGAACUAAGUGUGAGCUUGUAAUUAGAAUUGGACAGAGAUCUCAGGUUCCUUGUUUUAAUAAAACUUCCCUGUGCUAUAUGAUGUUGCAGAGAUGCUCUCUGAAUAGUGGUAUUCAACAUGCUUGUAUGUUUUUGAUGACUCAUCUAGAGCAUGUAGAAAGAAGCACUUUAUAGUAAUGACUUUUGAUUCACUACUUUCAGUCCUAAUUAGAGCAUGUCUUAAUGAUGACACUGGAGUAAUUUUUGUUGGCUUGGUAAUCUUUCUCUGGAUAAACAGGCUAUAUGACUUCUUCCAUGGGGAGAGUUCUCAGCUAAGGGAUAGCAGGAUUAAUCCCUGAGGAGGUACUGUGUUCAUUUGUGGUACUUAACAUGGUUGGGAGCCUCUAGAGGGCAAACCACAAAGAGUUUGGAGACUGCCAGUGUUAUGAACUGUGAAAUUAAACCCAGUUGCCAAUGGAGAAGGGAGGGGAGAGAAAAAUAAGAACAGGCAGCAAUUGAUUCAAAGAUGAAAUUAGCUGGUAGGACGAUAGGCAAGGAGAAGGUAGAUGUAAGAGGGACCUGAGAACCAAUUAAGGAGUUCUUAAUUUCCUCUUUUUUUUUUCCUAUACCUAUCACUCUUUCUUCAGUCAGGAUUUCUUUUCUGAACACUUUCAGAUACGCUCUUUUCAUUCAUUUGCCCUUGUUCUCCUUUGCUCCAGUAGUGGAAAUCAUUUGGGCAAUAUAUCUUUUCUUCAGGGAAGAGGCAGAAAUUUGGCUUUUUGCUUCAGUUAACAGCUUGAGCUUGGUUCUGCAGGGGAUCUUGAGAGUGAACCUGAGCAGCUGAAUUUGACUAAGAACAUAGAUUAAUGUGCUUCUGCUGCCAUUUAAACCCAUGCUGCUUUAGAAGGUUAAUAAUUUUCAAGAAAUCCUCCCCACUGCCUCAUGCCUCACUCCUCAUGUCCCUGUACUCCUCUUUAGUCAGCGACACUGAAUUUGUAUCUUCUUUAAGGCAAGAAGAUGAUGAUGUUUAUUUUCCUCUGACUUGUUGAUGUUACUUUUAGGAAAAUGGUUCGCUUUUUUUUGUAACAGCCUUUAAUUUAAUACAGACUUGGAUUUGGUUCUAUCUAUUACAGUCUGUUUCCCUGUAUGUUCCUUAUACAGCUCUAAACUUGAAAGAGAGCCAUCAUCUUGACAUUUUAUUUGGGCUAGAUUUUGAAUAAAUGUAAUUAGGCUUUGUCACGCUUUUUUAGACAGUCAACACAAAGUUAUUUCUUUUCUCUUUGAUAUAAAUAGCUCUUUUAGACUGGUUCUCUUUUAAUUACUCUUGAAGAUGUUCAUAUUUUUAUAAGGCUGUAAAUGUCAAGUCUGGAUGAAUCAGACCUAAAAUAUUAGAAAGCAAACUCUCUCCUAAUGUUCUCACUCUGUCCUGAUCCUUGUGAAGUGCCAAGAACUUCCUUGUACGUGCUGAGGUCUCUUACAGCGUUGAAGAUGGGGAGAUCUGAAAUUGCCUGGCACCUUUGAUCACAAUCCCUUACCAAACAGGCUGCUUUGACCCCAAGCAGGCCUGAUCUGUGUCCAAAAGAUGCCAUGAGACUUUUUUGAAGAAUUAAGUAUCUUAUCAUGAUUGAUGUUCUCAUUUUUGAAACACGGAGCCAAAGCCAGGUUGCAUUUCAUGUAUUCUUCCCACAUAACCUUUUUGGAGAUAAAAAUUAAAUUAGCAAGAGCUACCUGUACAGAGUGGUGGCUGCAUAGAGAGGGGUCAGUGGGAGGUACAUGAAAAGAGAACUACAGAGCUGUAGAAGUGUGCUUAGAUAUGUGUACCAAUAACUUCUCCCUCCCAUCUCUGCCUUGAGUUGCACUGUGGGAUGUUAAUCAGAAUUCAUUUUUACUGGGAAAACAGGUGCAGCCAGCUGUGGUAAGUGGGGAAAAGAAGUGGACUAAGGGCUUGAUUUUACGAACCUUCUCAGUUUUCAGUGCUUCAGUAUUACAGUCAGGAGGCAACCUGAACUUUUCACAAAAUCUUUAAUUCUUCUUUCAUCUGUCUCAUUUUUUCCCCAAGCACCAAGAGUUUUAAGACAGGUCUCCUUUUCCUCCUGUCACCUGACUCAUGCUCUGCUGUGGAUAUCUAUAGGGAGAAAACCUGCAGAGCCAUUUUUCUUCCCUAAGCACAUGAUGAUGAAAUCAAUACUAACUCUCUCCUAGCUUCUAUAGGACCAUUCUGGUGUUUCUGGUUUUCUAUGGAAAAAGGGCUUCAGCCUUAUAAAUUGCUGGUUCAGUCAUUUUUAUUGCUUUUCCUCAAGAUUUUCCUUUUGGUUUAGCAGGCAGUGAAAGGCUGGGAAGGUAGAAUUAAGCUGGGGUUCCUUGCUCAAUAGGGGAAAAUAGCAUUUCCUUCUAUUUGCAUCUGUCCUUUCACUCAUACCUGAAAUAUUUUUUCAGCUACCUGACAACUUCAGAAGGUUGAGCUCAUGCAAAGCAGUGAAGAAUGGAGUCAAGAAAUCCAGAUUAGUCUUAACCAAAUUUAUUUUGUAGCUACAUGACUAUUCAUAUAGUCACAUAUUCAGAGUUUAGAUUUCAGCAUUAACUUCCUCUCACUUGUUUCUGCUGUGGCUGCUCCUCUUCCAUAAGUUUAGCAUACUGAGAUAUUUGGCUGGAGGUGUCUCUACCUUUUGGGCCUGUGCUGAUGACCUCAUUGCCUCGUCAGCUGCAGUCUUUGCACAGAUUUCUGAUCACAAAUCUUGUUAAUAUCUGUGCAUCAGCACCUUCCAAUUGCUUGUGUGACAGAAGCUUUUAUGGCCCAGCCUCUGUGGUAGGGUGGUAAGAAAUUGGUCUGUGGGUUUAAUGUGUUGACAUUUUUUCUAAUAUUCACAUUCCCAUAUUGAAAGAGUAAAUUGUUUGCCUUCUCCAUGUUUUCCUAUGCAACUGUGCUUGUCUUUUGUUUUACCAUCUUACAGUGCCAGCUCAGGUUUAAUAUGCUGCUCACGGUAGCUCUUGCCAAACAUUAUUUUUCAGGUGACAGCCAUUCGAUAGCUUUGCUUCACGCUGCAGCUUUUGCAGGUGUUCUAAUAUUCUGUCCAAGGUGACUCAUGUUAUAUUGCAAAUUGUCUUUCUCACUUUAGUAUCCAAAGCAUUUGCAGUUAUUCUUUCCUUUUAGUAGGCCUGCUAUUGUGAUUUACAUUCUAAUCCAUGAGUUCAAUUUUUUUCUAUCAGCAUUAGUAAAUUAUCAGUUUUUCCGGAACCACGGGUACCUCCCACCAGUUCAGGUUAAAUACUCAACAUCAGUUUACUGCUUCGUUUUUUUGUCAAUCCUUCUGCAUGUAUCUGUUAUGAAGGUAAUUUAAUUAAGUUUUUUUGACUAGGAGUUUCAGGAUAUGGUAAGCGUAGUUCAAAAUGGUGAUGUUUGUCACUUCAAAUUACUCUGUUAGGUUUUAAAAGAAAGAAAGAUGACCUGUCUUCAGAGUAACAGGUCUGAACGUGAAUGGGAAUCACAGAAACCUUCUAAAACAUUUGAAUGAACAUUCUUUAUAUAGCUGUUAAAAGAUGCAAUAAAGGGAAUGUGGUUGGUGGAAAAAUUAGAACUCACUUCACAUUGUUAAACUGUUUGGGCACUCGGAGCCAUUAGAUGAAGACAGACUCCAAGAAAUACUGGGAUGAUGGGCAAGAUACCACUAACAUUCAACAGAGCAGAGGUGACACCAGAAAACUUCUCUCCAUAUUGUUCAGCACUUCCUGAUACACUCCCCAUUUUCAGUUUGUAUUUCUAGCUCAGAAUAAUCCUUCUGGCAGAAAGUGCUCAAGAUUUUUGUCUUGUUUCAGUUUGAAUUUUGAAAAUUUUGAAUUCAAAAUUUUCUGCAUGGAAAAAAAAAUUAAAGUGGCAGAAUUUAAAAUAAAUUGUAUUUGUGAUGUUGAAA